This 429-nucleotide ribosomal RNA is filed under the name Gemmatimonadota bacterium. RNAcentral describes it as "Gemmatimonadetes bacterium partial 16S ribosomal RNA". It matches the Rfam family "Bacterial small subunit ribosomal RNA", at positions 355 to 776 of the family's 1533-position model. The record is from RNAcentral. Lineage: Bacteria; Pseudomonadati; Gemmatimonadota.
UAGGGAAUCUUCGGCAAUGGACGAAAGUCUGACCGAGCAACGCCGCGUGAGUGAAGAAGGUUUUCGGAUCGUAAAACUCUGUUGUUAGAGAAGAACAAGGACGUUAGUAACUGAACGUCCCCUGACGGUAUCUAACCAGAAAGCCACGGCUAACUACGUGCCAGCAGCCGCGGUAAUACGUAGGUGGCAAGCGUUGUCCGGAUUUAUUGGGCGUAAAGCGAGCGCAGGCGGUUCCUUAAGUCUGAUGUGAAAGCCCCCGGCUCAACCGGGGAGGGUCAUUGGAAACUGGGAGACUUGAGUGCAGAAGAGGAGAGUGGAAUUCCAUGUGUAGCGGUGAAAUGCGUAGAUAUAUGGAGGAACACCAGUGGCGAAGGCGGCUCUCUGGUCUGUAACUGACGCUGAGGCUCGAAAGCGUGGGGAGCAAACAGG